AUGAAGCAAAGCUGAAGAUUAUUCAAAGGAAACUAUCUUAUUACAGUUUAAGAGAAAAACCCUAGUACAGGCAAGCUGUACAUCUCAUCAGCUGCCCAGAGGAAGAGAAUGGAGGGGGAAAGGAGGAAAAUGCCAUGUCAUUGAAGUCAAAUUGUCGUGCAGGUCCGUCACACAGCUGACAGGAAAUAGAAAUCUGAUAGAGGUGUUGAAGAAGAACUCCCUCAGAAGGCUAGCUAUAGAUAUCUGAAGAAGCAAGGAUGCAGACUGCAACUGGGAGCUUCGGGAAGGAGUGAAGCCAUCUUGACUAUCACUUGAAGACAGUUUGGGACACCUGACCUCCAGAACUACAAGGCAGUUUAAGCUGCUUCAUUCUGCUGAAGAUCCAAAUGCUGCUCUUUGCCCCUGCUUUAUGCUUGGGUUUAUCGAUAGAAGGUCAUCGACAGAUCGGGAGGUUAGCAUAUUGAUUCCCAAAGCACACUCGGUAGGUGGUGGAAAGAGAGCCAUGUCCACCUACUGGAGCCUGUAGCUACUCCAGUCAGCCUUCUGCAAUGAGU
Molecule: non-coding RNA, 554 nt
Organism: Peromyscus maniculatus bairdii (prairie deer mouse)
Lineage: Eukaryota; Metazoa; Chordata; Mammalia; Rodentia; Cricetidae
Source: RefSeq, a predicted model, not a curated record